UAGUGAUGAUCAUGAUGAUCGUGAUGAUCAUGAUGAUCGUGGUGAUCGUGGUGAUCGUGAUGAUCAUGAUGAUCGUGUCCA
Molecule: microRNA precursor, 81 nt
Filed under: Drosophila guanche
Lineage: Eukaryota; Metazoa; Arthropoda; Insecta; Diptera; Drosophilidae
Source: RNAcentral